CAGGGCAGAUACUCAGCUCACAUACGUUACUGCAAACCCAUCUCUCAUGACUGCCUUGAAGAAAACUAAGUUUGGAGGGCAAACUGCCAUACGAAAAUGUGGAAAGACAGAUGAAUCUGCAGAGUCAAAGACAAGAUCUGCUUACCUGGAGCAGAAGCCAUAAACUGAGAAACUGGACUUCAACAGAAAGGGAGAAAUAAAGACUAUCCCAGGCUCUGAAAGACAUACGAAAGUAACUUCUUCAGGGAGAAGGAAAAUCAUAUAGGAGUAAUUCAAUCCAGAUUGUGAAGAAGUCUUAGUGCCAAUUGCUCUGGCAGCCAUGUUAUGACCAUGAGACAAUCAGCCAUAGAAAGAAAUAUUCUGCAUGAUAGUUUAG
This 376-nucleotide long non-coding RNA is filed under the name Homo sapiens (human). RNAcentral describes it as "HSALNT0334902". The record is from RNAcentral. Lineage: Eukaryota; Metazoa; Chordata; Mammalia; Primates; Hominidae.